Molecule: ribosomal RNA, 524 nt
Filed under: Ptyodactylus oudrii
Lineage: Eukaryota; Metazoa; Chordata; Lepidosauria; Squamata; Phyllodactylidae
Description: partial 16S ribosomal RNA
Rfam family: Bacterial large subunit ribosomal RNA
Source: RNAcentral
UGCCGCCUGCCCAGUGAGUACAAUCUUCAACGGCCGCGGUAUCCUAACCGUGCAAAGGUAGCGUAAUCAUUUGUCCCCCAAAUAGGGACCUGUAUGAAAGGCUAAAUGAGGGCCCAACUGUCCCAUAUAGCCCCCCAAUGAAACUGAUCUCUCAGUACAAAAGCUGAGAUAACUACACAAGACGAGAAGACCCUGCGGAACUUCAACUACCCUAUCAACCCAAAACCCAUAGGAACCAACAAGGUUCCACCAAACCUCCCCACGAUUGAUAAAAGUUUAAGUUGGGGCGACUACGGAGCAAAAACAAACCUCCACGUAUCACAUACCAUCAGGCAAACAGGCCAGGGUAUAAUGAACCAAGACCCAGUAAUACUGAUCAACGAACCAAGCUACCCCAGGGAUAACAGCGCCAUCCUCUUCAAGAGUCCUUAUCGCCAAGAGGGCUUACGACCUCGAUGUUGGAUCAGGGCUCCCCAGUAGUGCAGCCGCUACUAAUGGUCCGUUUGUUCAACGGUUAAUGCCCU